CCUACGGGAGGGCAGCAGUGGGGAAUNUUGGACAAUGGGCGNAAGCCUGAUCCAGCNAUGCCGCGUGCAGGANGAAGGCCUUCCGGGUUGUAAACUGCUUUUGUACGGAACGAAAAGUCUCUUUCUAAUAAAGAGGGAUCAUGACGGUACCGUAAGAAUAAGCACCGGCUAACUACGUGCCAGCAGCCGCGGUAAUACGUAGGGUGCAAGCGUUAAUCGGAAUUACUGGGCGUAAAGCGUGCGCAGGCGGUUAUGUAAGACAGUUGUGAAAUCCCCGGGCUCAACCUGGGAACUGCAUCUGUGACUGCAUAGCUAGAGUACGGUAGAGGCGGAUGGAAUUCCGCGUGUAGCAGUGAAAUGCGUAGAUAUGCGGAGGAACACCGAUGGCGAAGGCAAUCCCCUGGACCUGUACUGACGCUCAUGCACGAAAGCGUGGGGAGCAAACAGGAUUAGAUACCCUGGUAGUCCACGCCCUAAAACGAUGUCAANCNUGGUUGUUGNGGUUNNNANCNNGANCCAGUAACGNAGCNAAC
RNAcentral lists this ribosomal RNA (533 nucleotides) under uncultured Variovorax sp. RNAcentral describes it as "partial 16S ribosomal RNA". It matches the Rfam family "Bacterial small subunit ribosomal RNA", at positions 338 to 856 of the family's 1533-position model. Lineage: Bacteria; Pseudomonadati; Pseudomonadota; Betaproteobacteria; Burkholderiales; Comamonadaceae. The record is from RNAcentral.